CUUGAGACCGGCGCACGGGUGCGUAACGCGUAUGCAACCUACCUUUAUCUGGGGGAUAGCCCGGAGAAAUCCGGAUUAAUACCGCAUAAAAUCACAGUAUUGCAUAAUACAAUGAUCAAACAUUUAUGGGAUGAAGAUGGGCAUGCGUGUCAUUAGCUAGUUGGCGGGGUAACGGCCCACCAAGGCGACGAUGACUAGGGGAUCUGAGAGGAUGACCCCCCACACUGGUACUGAGACACGGACCAGACUCCUACGGGAGGCAGCAGUAAGGAAUAUUGGUCAAUGGAGGCAACUCUGAACCAGCCAUGCCGCGUGCAGGAAGACUGCCCUAUGGGUUGUAAACUGCUUUUAUCCGGGAAUAAACCUAUUUACGUGUAAAUAGCUGAAUGUACCGGAAGAAUAAGGAUCGGCUAACUCCGUGCCAGCAGCCGCGGUAAUACGGAGGAUCCAAGCGUUAUCCGGAUUUAUUGGGUUUAAAGGGUGCGUAG
Molecule: ribosomal RNA, 488 nt
Filed under: uncultured Pedobacter sp.
Lineage: Bacteria; Pseudomonadati; Bacteroidota; Sphingobacteriia; Sphingobacteriales; Sphingobacteriaceae
Description: bacterial SSU rRNA
Rfam family: Bacterial small subunit ribosomal RNA
Source: RNAcentral